UACGUAGGGGGCAAGCGUUGUCCGGAUUUAUUGGGCGUAAAGGGCGCGUAGGCGGCCUUCUAAGUCGAACGUGAAAUCCCUGGGCUCAACCCAGGAACUGCGUCCGAUACUGGAAGGCUUGAAUCCGGGAGAGGGAUGCGGAAUUCCAGGUGUAGCGGUGAAAUGCGUAGAUAUCUGGAGGAACACCGGUGGCGAAGGCGGCAUCCUGGACCGGUAUUGACGCUGAGGCGCGAAAGCCAGGGGAGCAAACGGG
RNAcentral lists this ribosomal RNA (253 nucleotides) under uncultured bacterium. Its description in RNAcentral is "partial 16S ribosomal RNA". It matches the Rfam family "Bacterial small subunit ribosomal RNA", at positions 524 to 776 of the family's 1533-position model. The record is from RNAcentral.